GGAUGGGCCUGCGUCUGAUUAGCUGGUUGGUAGGGUAACGGCCUACCAAGGCGACGAUCAGUAGCCGACCUGAGAGGGUAAUCGGCCACAUUGGAACUGAGACACGGUCCAAACUCCUACGGGAGGCAGCAGUGGGGAAUAUUGCACAAUGGGCGAAAGCCUGAUGCAGCAACGCCGCGUGAGCGAGGAAGGUCUUUGGGUCGUAAAGCUCUGUCCAAAGGGAAGAAACAAAUGACGGUACCUUUGGAGGAAGCCCCGGCUAACUACGUGCCAGCAGCCGCGGUAAUACGUAGGGGGCGAGCGUUAUCCGGAAUUAUUGGGCGUAAAGAGUGCGUAGGUGGCUUUUUAAGCGUGGGGUGAAAGGCAGCGGCUCAACCGUUGUGAGCCUUGCGAACUGGAAGACUUGAGUGCAGGAGAGGAAAGCGGAAUUCCUAGUGUAGCGGUGAAAUGCGUAGAUAUUAGGAGGAACACCAGUGGCGAAGGCGGCUUUCUGGACUGUAACUGACACUGAGGCACGAAAGCGUGGGGAGCAAACAGGAUUAGAUACCCUGGUAGUCCACGCCGUAAACGAUGAGCACUAGGUGUCGGGGUCGCAAGGCUUCGGUGCCGCAGUUAACGCAUUAAGUGCUCCGCCUGGGGAGUACGCACGCAAGUGUGAAACUCAAGGAAUUGACGGGGACCCGCACAAGCAGCGGAGCAUGUGGUUUAAUUCGAAGCAACGCGAGAACCUUACCAGGCUUGACAUCCCUCUGACCGGCGUGUAACGGCGCCUUCCCUUCGGGGCAGAGGAGACAGGUGGUGCAUGGUGUCG
This 811-nucleotide ribosomal RNA is filed under the name uncultured bacterium. Its description in RNAcentral is "bacterial SSU rRNA". It matches the Rfam family "Bacterial small subunit ribosomal RNA", at positions 223 to 1054 of the family's 1533-position model. The record is from RNAcentral.